Molecule: long non-coding RNA, 1283 nt
Organism: Clarias gariepinus (North African catfish)
Lineage: Eukaryota; Metazoa; Chordata; Actinopteri; Siluriformes; Clariidae
Exons: 3
Source: RefSeq, a predicted model, not a curated record
GCGAGUGAACCCAACUUCUUGCGCUCUUCUUGUGAAUCCUUUUACUUUAUUAAGAAAAUCUUUAGUAUUAUUAUUAAUUUAAAAAAAUCUUCAGUAGUGCUAAAGCGUUUUGAUGGGACUGAUCACUUGGCAACUGGAUUUGUUUUUCUGUGCUUUAUUGAUGAUGUUUAAUGAAAAACUUGGAGUGUGCUUGAGUGCUGUGUGACUCCCCGCAGGGUGUGCUGCUCUCAGGCACGGAGUGACUUUCUGAAGGCAGCGCAGAGCAGAAACCCCCCCACCGGAGACGUGUUUACUGCGUCUCACCGGAAGCCUCCUCUCCUUAACUGGGGUAUUUUCUCUCUCCGUCAGAGUUGUAGAGCGUGUACGUGCUCCAGGUCACAUGUGCACCAUCUCCACUCACCAGUGAAGUAUUUCAUCAUCCUAGUGAUGUUUGCAUGUCAAUCUACUCCGCUGUAGUACAGUAAUAUGGCUGAAUAUACAGUAUAAUCUUGAUUGAUAGCAUAAAAAAAAAAUCUGUUUUAUUGCGUUUAGUCUUUCUAGAACAAUAGGAUAUUAGAUGCUUUGCCCCAAUACAGUGUAAAGUCUAGUUGCAGUCAGUGAAACACCAUGAAGGCGAAAGGAAUGUGUUGGGCGCUUUGGCGUGAAACUGGCCCGUGACCGGAUCAGGAUGGCAACACAGGUAGCGGAAGAAGAUAAGGAAAUGAAUUUAAAUGAUUGGACUCGAUACCAUACUCCGUUCCAAUAGGUGGUGGUAAUGCACCUUUGGACAACCGCCAUAAAACAGCAAAAGAAUUAGAAGAAGCCUAGUUGCAACCUCUAUAUAUAUAUAUAUAUAUAUAUAUAUAGAGAGAGAGAGAGAGAUUUUUGGGAGACGCCCUUAUCCAGAACAACUGGAUGAUGAGUGAUUUUUCUCUUAUUAUACAUCUGAGCAGUUGAGGGUUAAGGGUCUUGCUCAAGGGACAACUUAGUGGUCGUGGGAUUUGAACCUGGGCCCGUAGACCAAUACCUUACUACAGUAGCCGAGCCAUACCUUACUUCAGAAGUUUAGUCUAUACACAGAUCAUCCUUAACCUGCCACCUCUCUAAUAUCAUAUAGAUCCCCACCUUCUGCUCCUAAAACAGCUCUGAUUCAUUGAGUCAUGUGCUUCACAAGACCUCUGAAGAUGUGUUUUGGUAUCUAGCACCGACAUUAAGCUGUGAGGUGUGGCCUCCAUGGUAAUAGAUGACUUGUUUGUCAGCACAUUCCACAGAUGUUUAGUCAGAUUUCGAUUUAGAAAAUUUAU